UUAAAUUGAAGAGUUUGAUCAUGGCUCAGAUUGAACGCUGGCGGCAGGCCUAACACAUGCAAGUCGAACGGUAACAGGAAUCAGCUUGCUGAUUUGCUGACGAGUGGCGGACGGGUGAGUAAUGUCUGGGAAACUGCCUGAUGGAGGGGGAUAACUACUGGAAACGGUAGCUAAUAC
RNAcentral lists this ribosomal RNA (177 nucleotides) under Escherichia coli. RNAcentral's name for it is "partial 16S ribosomal RNA". It matches the Rfam family "Bacterial small subunit ribosomal RNA", at positions 1 to 169 of the family's 1533-position model. Lineage: Bacteria; Pseudomonadati; Pseudomonadota; Gammaproteobacteria; Enterobacterales; Enterobacteriaceae. The record is from RNAcentral.